UUGCUGUGAUGACAGUCUUAGGACACCUUUGGAUUAGCCAUGAAAAAAAAAACACGUUCUGAGCAAC
Small nucleolar RNA from Choloepus didactylus (southern two-toed sloth), 67 nucleotides. RefSeq annotates it as small nucleolar RNA SNORD58. The transcript has a single exon. Lineage: Eukaryota; Metazoa; Chordata; Mammalia; Pilosa; Megalonychidae. The record is from RefSeq and is a predicted model, not a curated record.